This 547-nucleotide ribosomal RNA is filed under the name Pleosporaceae sp. LM29. RNAcentral describes it as "bacterial SSU rRNA". The stretch from base 1 to 373 matches the Rfam family "Eukaryotic small subunit ribosomal RNA", at positions 1461 to 1831 of the family's 1831-position model. Lineage: Eukaryota; Fungi; Ascomycota; Dothideomycetes; Pleosporales; Pleosporaceae. The record is from RNAcentral.
CCCAAGAUGUCUCAAAGGGUUCUGUUCCCCAAGCGCGCUACACUGACAGAGCCAACGAGUUCUUCACCUUGGCCGAAAGGUCUGGGUAAUCUUGUUAAACUCUGUCGUGCUGGGGAUAGAGCAUUGCAAUUAUUGCUCUUCAACGAGGAAUGCCUAGUAAGCGCGUGUCAUCAGCAUGCGUUGAUUACGUCCCUGACCUUUGUACACACCGCCCGUCGCUACUACCGAUUGAAUGGCUCAGUGAGGCGUUCGGACUGGCUCGGGGAGGUUGGCAACGACCACCCCAAGCCGGAAAGUUCGUCAAACUCGGUCAUUUAGAGGAAGUAAAAGUCGUAACAAGGUCUCCGUAGGUGAACCUGCGGAGGGAUCAUUACACAAUACAAUAUGAAGGCUGUCCGCAGCUGGAGUAUUUUAUUACCCUUGUCUUUUGCGCACUUGUUGUUUCCUGGGCGGGUUCGCUCGCCACCAGGACCACCAAAUAAACCUUUUUUAUGCAGUUGCAAUCAGCGUCAGUACAAACAAUGUAAAUCAUUUCAACUUUCAACAC